RNAcentral lists this ribosomal RNA (308 nucleotides) under Radix rubiginosa. RNAcentral's name for it is "partial 28S ribosomal RNA". The record is from RNAcentral. Lineage: Eukaryota; Metazoa; Mollusca; Gastropoda; Lymnaeidae.
GCGGAGGGUCCGGGAAUCGGGCCGGGGAUCUUCGGACCCCGCCCAGCUCUCGACUGGGCCCGACGCCGCGUGCACUUUCCGCGGGCAGAGCGCCACGACCGGUUUCGCGGCGGCGAUAAGCCCGUGCGGAUGCGUGGCACGAUCUCACGGUCGUGCUACGGCCGCUCGAGGUGAGCCGCUGACGGGACCGAGGAACGGCCGCGCGCUUCGAGGCUGCCCGGCCUCGCUGGGGAGUUCGACUGGCAGGGACUGGGCAACCGUGCCUGCCGACUGCUCCCCGGUGCCGGUUCGGGACAGCCGGGCGCGUC